This 345-nucleotide ribosomal RNA is filed under the name Triticum aestivum (bread wheat). Its description in RNAcentral is "partial small subunit ribosomal RNA". Lineage: Eukaryota; Viridiplantae; Streptophyta; Magnoliopsida; Poales; Poaceae. The record is from RNAcentral.
AUGAGAGUCCAACAUAUGUCAGCUCCAGCAGCUCACCAUACAAAAAGAAAGAAAGAACAACCUCUAAACUCAAGGAGUACAAAGCGGACAAGGACUGGAGAGGGAAGAAGAAACACAAACACAAACACAGAGGAUCCUAAACAAUUCAGAAAGGCUAAUGCUAAAGACGAUAAGGAAUUGAAGCGCGCAAGAAGCGAUACCAACAGAAACAACAUUAGAGUCAAUGUUGGAGACAACAACAGAACCAGAACCUCGACAAGUGUUAAUAGCAAGCCAUGGAACUUCGGAAGGCCAACAUACAAAUGCCAAUAUGCAAAGCAUUGCUAUGGUGUGAGGAAAGAUUAA